GCCGGGCAUGGUGGUGCAUGCCUGUAAUCCCAGCUACUCGGGAGGCUGAGGCACGAGAAUUGCUUGAGCCCAGGAGGCAGAGGUUGCAGUGAGCCGAAACUGUGCCACUGCACUCCAGCCUGGGCGACAGAGCAAAAUCUGUCUCAA
RNAcentral lists this non-coding RNA (147 nucleotides) under Chlorocebus sabaeus (green monkey). The record is from Rfam by way of RNAcentral. Lineage: Eukaryota; Metazoa; Chordata; Mammalia; Primates; Cercopithecidae.